Molecule: ribosomal RNA, 460 nt
Filed under: uncultured bacterium
Lineage: Bacteria
Description: partial 16S ribosomal RNA
Rfam family: Bacterial small subunit ribosomal RNA
Source: RNAcentral
CCUACGGGAGGCAGCAGUGAGGAAUAUUGGUCAAUGGGCGUGAGCCUGAACCAGCCAAGUCGCGUGAGGGAAGACGGUCCUAUGGAUUGUAAACCUCUUUUGUCGGGGAGUAAUGCCGGGCACGUGUGCCCGGAGGCAGAUUACCCGCAGAAUAAGCAUCGGCUAACUCCGUGCCGGCAGCCGCGGUAAUACGGAGGAUGCGAGCGUUAUCGGGAUUUUUUGGGUUAAAGGGGUGCGAAGGCGGAUUUUUAAGUCAGCGGUAAAAUGUCCGGGCUCAACCCGGGCCGGCCGUUGAAACUGGGGAUCUUGAGUGGGCGAGAAGUAUGCGGAAUGCGUGGUGUAGCGGUGAAAUGCAUAGAUAUCACGCAGAACUCCGAUUGCGAAGGCAGCAUACCGGCGCCCGACUGACGCUGAGGCACGAAAGCGUGGGGAUCGAACAGGAUUAGAUACCCCGGUAGUC